CUUGUUCCUGAUUUUAGGGGAAACACGUUGAGUUUCUCUCCAUUUAGUUUGAUGUUGGCUGUUGGUUUGCUGUAUAUUGCUUUUAUUAUGUUUAGAUAUGUUCCUGUUAUCCCUGAUCUCUCCAAGACCUUUAUCAUGAAGGGUGUUGGAUUUUGUCAAAGGCUUUUUCAGCAUCUAGUGAGAUGAUCAUGUGUUUUUUCUUUCUCAGUCUGCUUAUGUGGUGGAUUACAUUGAUGGAUUUUCAUAUGUUGAACCAUCCUUUUAUCCCUGGGAUGAAGCCUACUUGAUCAUGGUGGAUGAUUUCUCUGAUGUGUUUUUGGAUUCAAUUUGCCAGUAUUUUGUUGAGUAUUUUUGCAUCUGAUGUCUCUCCUCUUCCCCAUGGAUGGAGGCAGGACUGGCACCGGGGACCUGGAAGUCUCUGGAUGUGUUGGAUCCUGCCAAACUGGGAUCUGCCAUGAGCAAGGCCCCUUCCCCCCAGCAGGGCAGAAGAGAAAGGGGAUAUUCUGGUUUUUAAUCAUGUGAUAAAUAGGUUUCUUUUUAAAUCCAAAGUCCAUUUUUAUCAUCUUUGUAAAAAAAAGUCAAAUGCUAUUACUUUGUGAAUGUAAGUCUUGGUCCUCUCUUCUGUUUCACUGACAGUGUGUCUGCUUUUUGUUACUGUGGCUCUGGAGUAUAUCUCGAAAUCAGAUGGGUGCCUAGCCCAGCUGUCAUCUGAAAGGCUUCAUCCACAGCUGAUGGGAGCAGAUGCAGAGACCCACAGCCAAAGAUUAGACGGAGCUUGGAGAACUCCACAGAAGAGGACGAGGAAGGAUUGUAGGAGCCAGUGGAGUCAACAACAGGAGAACACGGCCCACAGAGUCAACUAAGCAGGGCCCAUGGGGGCUCACAGAGGCUGAAGCAGCAAUCACAGAGCCUGUAUAGGUCUUCCCCAGGCCCUCGGCAUAUAUGUUAUGGUUGUAUUGUAGCUUGGUGUUUUUGUGGGACUCCUUAGAGUGGGAGUUGGGGUAUCUCUGAUGCUUUUGUCUGUGCUUGGGACCCUUUUCCUCUUCCUGGGUUGCCUUGUGCCUAGUCUUACUGCAUCUUGUUAUGCCAUGUGGGUUGAUUUCCCUGGAAGGCCUGCUUUUUUUCUGAAGGGAAACGGAGGAGCAGUGACUCUGGGG
This 1157-nucleotide long non-coding RNA is filed under the name Cricetulus griseus (Chinese hamster). RNAcentral describes it as "lncRNA (ENSCGRG00015014208.2)". The record is from RNAcentral. Lineage: Eukaryota; Metazoa; Chordata; Mammalia; Rodentia; Cricetidae.